AACGAACGCUGGCGGCAUGCCUAACACAUGCAAGUCGAACGCGUGUAGCAAUACACGAGUGGCGGACGGGUGAGUAACGCGUGGGAACCUGCCCAGUGGUAGGGAAUAACUGCGGGAAACUGCAGCUAAUACCCUAUACGCCCUUUGGGGGAAAGAUUCAUCGCCAUUGGAGGGGCCCGCGUCGGAUUAGCUAGUUGGCGGGGUAAUGGCCCACCAAGGCAACGAUCCGUAGCUGGUCGAGAGGAUGAUCAGCCACACUGGGACUGAGAUACGGCCCAGACUCCUACGGGAGGCAGCAGUGGGGAAUAUUGGACAAUGGGGGAAACCCUGAUCCAGCAAUGCCGCGUGAGUGAAGAAGGCCUUC
Molecule: ribosomal RNA, 364 nt
Filed under: uncultured bacterium
Lineage: Bacteria
Description: bacterial SSU rRNA
Rfam family: Bacterial small subunit ribosomal RNA
Source: RNAcentral